Molecule: ribosomal RNA, 774 nt
Filed under: Triticum aestivum (bread wheat)
Lineage: Eukaryota; Viridiplantae; Streptophyta; Magnoliopsida; Poales; Poaceae
Description: partial small subunit ribosomal RNA
Source: RNAcentral
AUGGAAUUUCACAACAGAUACGCUGGUUUUAGAAUCAGGAAGAUGGGAGGGAAUGACAAUCACAAGUAUUUUGUUUGUGUGUUCCAAGGGGAACACACAACUUAUCUUUCCGAGGCUGACAGGAAGCGAAACAAAACAUCACAGAGGACAGGCUGCAAUGCAAGAGUGAGGGUGAAGGUGCAGGAGGAUAACACAUGUGUGGUAGUGGACAUUGAGUACAAUCAUAAUCACCACCUCAUGCAAACUGAUGACAUGCUGGUAUUCUUGCACUCACACAAGAAUUAUGAUCCCACUAUUCUGGAGUACAUAAAGCUCCUGCAGUACCAUGAUGUCAAGCAUAUAAUAAUCAUGUCCAUGCUAUCCGAAAAUGAAGAUGGAAGCUACUUCCUAAGCAUGACCGGACGAGACCUACUACACCAGAAAUAUAGUUAUGUAUGUGAAGUUCAAGCACUGGUACCUUGGAAGUUCAACAACAUUGAUUGCCUGUUGAUGGCGAAAGCUAUACCACAAUCAUUCCCAAACACGGUCCACAAGCUAUGCCGUUGGCACAUCCUGAAAAAGUUCAUGGAAUACCUCGUGUUGCUGUACAAAAAGUAUAAAACAUUCAAAGAGGAGUUCACAACAAUCUUAAAAUGGUCGCUAAUGCCAACGAAGUUUGAAGCUGCUUCGGCUCAAGUCAUGCAAAAGUACAACCUGCAGAACGAACAGAUGAUGAUGAAGCUGUGGAAUGAUAGGAAAAUGUGGAUAUCAGCAUAUUACAAGAACAUUUUCUAA